GAUGAACGCUGGCGGCGUGCCUAAUACAUGCAAGUCGAGCGAACAGAUAAGGAGCUUGCUCCUUUGACGUUAGCGGCGGACGGGUGAGUAACACGUGGGUAACCUACCUAUAAGACUGGAAUAACUCCGGGAAACCGGGGCUAAUGCCGGAUAACAUUUAGAACCGCAUGGUUCUAAAGUGAAAGAUGGUUUUGCUAUCACUUAUAGAUGGACCCGCGCCGUAUUAGCUAGUUGGUAAGGUAACGGCUUACCAAGGCAACGAUACGUAGCCGACCUGAGAGGGUGAUCGGCCACGCUGGAACUGAGACACGGUCCAGACUCCUACGGGAGGCAGCAGUAGGGAAUCUUCCGCAAUGGGCGAAAGCCUGACGGAGCAACGCCGCGUGAGUGAUGAAGGUCUUCGGAUCGUAAAACUCUGUUAUUAGGGAAGAACAAAUGUGUAAGUAACUGUGCACGUCUUGACGGUACCUAAUCAGAAAGCCACGGCUAACUACGUG
RNAcentral lists this ribosomal RNA (497 nucleotides) under uncultured bacterium. Its description in RNAcentral is "partial 16S ribosomal RNA". It matches the Rfam family "Bacterial small subunit ribosomal RNA", at positions 28 to 507 of the family's 1533-position model. The record is from RNAcentral.